GAAAAAACAAUGAGGUCUCUAAUGGCCUCCGCAACAGUCACUCUUGUGUUAGCAAUACUGUCUCUAAGCUUGCCAUCUCAAAUCUCAGCUGAUACCUACUUGUACUCAUCACCUCCUCCUCCCAAGAAGCCCUAUUAUUAUCACUCUCCUCCACCACCUUCACCUCCUCCACCUAAGCCAUACUACUAUCAUUCACCACCACCACCUUCACCUCCUCCACCCAAGCCAUACUACUAUCACUCACCACCACCACCUUCACCUCCUCCACCUAAACCAUACUACUAUCACUCACCACCACCACCUUCACCUCCUCCACCUAAACCAUACUACUAUCACUCACCACCACCACCUUCACCUCCUCCACCUAAACCAUACUACUAUCACUCACCACCACCACCUUCACCUCCUCCACCUAAGUCAUAUUACUAUCACUCACCACCACCACCACCCAAAAAGAAGCCAUACUACUACCAUUCUCCCCCACCACCUUCACCACCUCCUCCUAAGCCAUACUACUAUCACUCUCCCCCACCGCCUUCACCUCCUCCACCUACGCCAUACUACUAUCAUUCUCCCCCACCACCCUCACCACCUCCACCUAAGCCAUACUACUACCAUUCACCACCACCCCCACCGAAGAAGAAGCCUUACUACUACCACUCUCCACCACCACCUUCACCUCCUCCUCCAAAGAAGCCAUACUACUACCACUCCCCACCUCCUCCCAAGAAGCCCUACAAAUAUUCAUCUCCCCCACCUCCAGUGCACCCUUACCCUCAUCCUCACCCCCAUCCCCAUCCACACCCCCACCCUCACCCUCCCUACGUUUACAAAUCUCCUCCCCCACCCCCUAAGAAGCCAUACAAGUACCCAUCCCCACCACCUCCAGUCCACGUUUACCCUCACCCUCACCCGCAUCCACACCCUCACCCUCAACCUCACCCCCAUCCACAACCCCACCCUCCCUACAUUUAUCAGUCUCCUCCACCACCCCCUAAGAAGCCUUACAAGUACCCAUCGCCUCCACCUCCCGUCCACCCAUACCCCCAUCCCCACCCUCUUCCUCAUCCCCACCCUCACCCUCUUCCACAUCCCCACCCUCUUCCCCAUCCUCACCCUCUUCCUCAUCCCCACCCUCUUCCCCAUCCUCACCCCCUCCCUCCUUACACUCCUCAUCCAAUCUAUCACUCUCCAUCACCACCACCACCUUACAAGAAGCCUUACAAGUACAAGUCCCCUCCACCACCUCCACACUACAUCUACGCAUCACCUCCACCUCCUUACCACUCUUAGACAGUGGUCAACUAGCAUAGUUCUAUGGUAACCUUCUUCAUACCUACGUACAUGCUACAUUAUUAUAAUUUCUCAUUAAUGGUUCCGCAUUUUUUUACAUCUAUACUUGUUCCCAAAAAAUGAAUACCAAACCCUCGUGAUCCCUGUCAAGGUUUUUAACUUGAUACGGAAAAUGAUUUUUCUGGUUUGGUUUUAUAGGGACCACGUACCCCUCACUGAAAUUGACAGACACUAUAAUAAUAUGUGCAUGUGUUCUAAUGUUUUGUA
RNAcentral lists this long non-coding RNA (1560 nucleotides) under Phaseolus vulgaris (common bean). RNAcentral's name for it is "long non-coding RNA (PVUL_LNC002044)". The record is from RNAcentral. Lineage: Eukaryota; Viridiplantae; Streptophyta; Magnoliopsida; Fabales; Fabaceae.